RNAcentral lists this small nuclear RNA (23 nucleotides) under Arabidopsis thaliana (thale cress). RNAcentral describes it as "snRNA_02006". The record is from RNAcentral. Lineage: Eukaryota; Viridiplantae; Streptophyta; Magnoliopsida; Brassicales; Brassicaceae.
AAAUCAGACUGAGUUUGAUCUGU